UGGAAUAUAUAGGCCAUGGAUGUGGCCUUGUCUCCCUAGGAGCUCAUCCCCUCACUGGGGAGAAAAAAAACUCAUGUAGAAAAUGACAAUAAAAGCCUCACAAUUGUAAGGCAAAGACCUGACAGAAUUCCUAAGCUCUGAUGGGGUACAGCCACCCAGCAAGACCAAAUCAAGUCGGUUUAAAUGAAAAGGGCUUUGUAAUAGGGGAUCUCCAAUUCAGUUUGAAGGAGUUGAUAGACAUGGAUUUGAGUUGAAUGAAAAAGACAUUCUAGGUGAGAGCAAAGACAGUAUCAGCAAUAUGGAAUCAUCAAUUGGGAUUGAGUUUCAGAUGAGAGGGCCUUUUAUUAAGUUUAUAUUGCAUUAAUUUGAAGCAAAAGUAGAAAUCCAUGAAUGGAUAGAAGUUAUGCAAAAUUGUAAAAACAUCACUUUACUAUUACAGGACUUUUCAAAUGUGUGUCUACAGGAGUGAUUGUUGUGUAGAAAUGAUGAUCUGGAAGCCAAGAUGAGGCCAUCAUAAUAGCCUCCAAAAUGAAAAAUGCAUAACAUCUGGGUAACGUGUGCAGCAUGGAGGAAUCAGACAAAUUCUAGUUUAUGUGUAUUAUUUGGUAACUGAUAGGAUUUUCUUUACUCAUCCUGGAAGUAGAUAAGUAAUGGAGCCCUAGAUAUGUUGAGUUCUGGGUGUGAAUGUAAUUCAAGUGCAUGCAAAGAAGUUAUGAAUUACUGUUUAUAAAUAAAAAGAAAGGAUAAAAGUGUGCAUUAUACAUUUGGUAAUUCAUCUGACAUUUGAAAUCAAAAUCUGUUUAUAUGAAAAUGCCACUUUUUCCAGUUUGUUGACCAGAACUUGAAAUUAAAUAAGAAUCAAUGUGUAGUAUCCUUCUUACAUUAGGACCUACUGCUAAAACUCAUCAAUUAUAAAUAAGUUGUUGCUCAAAUCUGACUUCUUCCCCAUGAAAUGGUUUUAAAUGUGUGUUUAAUGAUUUCUUUAACACUAGCUUUAAAUAUUCCAUGGCAGAACGUUUUAGUCUUUGUAUGGUUUGUAUGUAGAAAUUUAACAAAUAAAUACAUAUAGAAGAAAAAUAAGAAUUUUUCCUGCAACAUUAAAUAACUAUUAUGUCUGUGGAUAGCUAAUCUUUAAUUACUCUUUCAAAUAUCACACUUUGUAUACAUAAAUUGCAGCAAGGUAGAUAUUUUAGAAACUGUGGGAAAAUGUUUCAAGAAAGAAGUUAUGAAUUACUUUGUGUGUCAAGUUUAAUGCUUAUGAUUCGAAUUCAUAUUUCUCAUAAUUUAUUCUCUUCUUCAUUUCACUUGACUGAUAUGCUGCGAGUGCUGAUUGGCCUCCAGUAAUCAGAAGCAUUUGUGUGGGAUGUCAGCUGUGAGGUAUACCUUUCUUUCCUAUUUGAAGGAAUUGAAGAUAAGAAUAAUGUCCAUGCAAGUCGCAUAUUUAUUGGUGCAGCAAAGGAACUACACUGUGACCCAAGGGGCAAAAUGGUGGGGAAAAUGACAUAAAACCAUUUCAUCUUUUCAACUUUCUCUAUGGAAAUAAUCCUCAUAGUCUUCGCUGCUCAGCUAUUUACUUAGUUUAUUCCUUCAACUUUCUGCCCCUGCUAUCAACAACUUUAUCCUUUCAACUCACCUCAUAACUUGCAUGAGAAGACACAUCGGUGAAGAAUUUAACCACUUCAGUUGCCAUCCCUUCCUUUUUCCUCCCAUAUCACAUUAUGUAAAUGGCUGUGGUACAAUUUUAAACUAUCCUGUAAAAAUAGUACUAAUGAGAAAUUCUCAAUUUAAACCUUGGCCAGAUCACAAUUCUAACCUUGUGUUAAUUUUUUCAAUAGCCUUAAUUUCACUUGAGCAUGCCUUUAUCAGAGUUAGUUAUUUACUUUCCUCCUGUUUCACAUUAGAAAAAAGCAACAAACAGUAAACAGAGGUGAUGAGAUAUGAACUAUAAUACUUUCAUAUUUGACCAUCUUUAUUUCCUGCUUAUCUCAAAGAAUAAGGUCUUCUGACCCAUCCCUUUGGUGCAAGCAUUCUUGCUAAGUUCUCAAUGACCUCUUGUUUUCAAAUCCAGAGGAGUGAUUUGUCAUCUUACUUGGCCUGUGGGCUGUGUGUAAACUAUUGACUUCUAAAGCAUUCUAACUUCCUGCCACAGUUUCUUACUUCUCUUCCUUUCUUUGCCCUCAACUGUUUGCUUUCACCUGACUAUUCCCUCUCCUAUCUAGUGCUGAGAUAACCACAUAUUUAGCCAUGGUUCCAAAUAUACAUGUGGCAAGGAAAAUAUUUUUGUAGCAUUAACUACAACAUUCUCAUUUUCACACAAAGUUAUAAGGCUUGCUCUGUUACACUGAAUUUUGCGGAAAUCAUUUCCUUCAUAAUAAGGAAGAUUCAUGAUAAUCUCCAAACAUUUCCAAUUAUGAAACAUGUAGAUCCAGAGAAUGACACAGUUUUCUGAGGACCCACUCUCAUCUUCUGGUAUGAUGCCACAUGAACACUAUAUCCCAUGAGUUAUAAAGAAAGAGUUAAAGAACAGGCAGCUAUACAGGAGCCCACAGAGGUAAUAGUAACUGAGCAAUUUGUGGUUGGAAAUUGUUUGAAAUCCUGCAGACAAUGUUAUUGCUUCCACAUUAUACCUGCUGCCUUGACUCAUGUAGAAGUCAUGAAUAAAACCAGUAUAGAACAAA
Molecule: long non-coding RNA, 2678 nt
Organism: Mesocricetus auratus (golden hamster)
Lineage: Eukaryota; Metazoa; Chordata; Mammalia; Rodentia; Cricetidae
Exons: 3
Source: RefSeq, a predicted model, not a curated record